GGGACGGUUGCGGGGAACAGAAAAGCAUUUCUGGAGACGUCGAAUGCCUUUUAUCUGGGGACUCGACUCGCUGGGGCCGACCAACCCUUGGACCUCACUGCCGAUCUCCUAUUUUGAUUAGCUGAAUUACAGGCAAAUUGCUCAUUCCCAUCUGCAAUUCAUGGCGACUCCAUCAGGCUCUGUCGCUUCUUCUGUGUCUUCCCAGUUCACCAAUUCCAACGGUUCAUAUUUCCCCGUGCCCUUUCACCUCCAGCAAUCCCUAGCGGCGCAGUAUGGGACAUCAUACGUGGCAGCAUCGCCAGCAGUGCAAAUUCCUCCUUCCCUUUAUCCGUCUCCGGCACCGGUCGCUGGGUUGUAUCCUCUGCCGCAGUAUCAGCAGGCGCAGCAACUGUUUCAAAGGGAUGCACAAACAAUUACACCUGAGGCUCUUGAAAGUGUCAAGGCGGCCAUUGCAAAUAGCGAGAUUGAGCAUAAGGCGGAGACCAAAAAGAAAGCAGUUCCUCGCAAAGCUGCUGGCCAAACAUGGGAGGAUCCCACUCUUGCAGAUUGGCCAGAAAAUGAUUAUCGGCUCUUUUGUGGUGAUCUUGGUAAUGAGGUGAAUGAUGAUGUUCUUUCAAAAACAUUUUCUCGAUUUCCUUCCUUUAACAUGGCACGAAUUUUUAUUUGAAGAAACAGAGUGUGAAUCUUAAGGUUGUCAGAGACAAGCGGACUGGAAAAACAAAGGGUUAUGGAUUUGUAAGCUUUGCCAAUCCUGCUGACCUUGCUGCUGCUCUGAAAGAAAUGAAUGGUAAAUAUGUUGGAAAUCGGCCAAUUAAGCUUCGCAGGAGCAAGUGGCAGGAGCGGACAGAUUAUGAGGCCCUGGAAAAACAGAAGAACCAAGCUCAGAAGAAAUCGAAAUUGCCGAGGAAGAGUAUUCUGCACAAGUAACUGAGGCCAGAUUAUGUAAUUCAGGCUUCCCGACGAAUUAAAAGCACGGUUCACAGUGACUGUGUUGUCUUUUCAAUUUUUUUCCUAAAUAUUCUGAUCUACUUUCCAUGUUUAUAUUUCUAGAAUUUGUGCUGGUCAUGUUCAAUCAGUGAAACGAGGAGGAAGAAAUCAUUUGUACUAAGUGACAGUACAUAUCGUUUUAUAUGUCUGACCUCUUGAAGUAGGACGAUCCUGAAGCAUACUGUUGGAUUGCAUGUGACGAUUAGUAGUUAUCGAGGGAGUUGGUAUUGCUGCUGCAUCGCUAAUUCUAAGUAUAUUCACAGGUAGCACAAGUUAUCUGGCCUUUUUUGUGCUCAACAUUGACAAGGUGCUAUCUAGAAGUGUUCGGCAGCGUCGAUUUAAUUUAUGGUCAACGGUGCGACGUGUGUACCUCCCAUAGGGUCUGAACACGUGUAAUUUGUCAAAAAAUGAUUGAGACUGCGUAGGUUUGUUGGCUAUAAAUGAAGAUACAACGAAUUUUUAUUAUUUUUUUAUGACCAGGGAGAUGCAGCUAAUUUAAUGGGAAAAAAUUGUGCUGUUACGUG
Molecule: RNA transcript, 1511 nt
Organism: Neltuma alba
Lineage: Eukaryota; Viridiplantae; Streptophyta; Magnoliopsida; Fabales; Fabaceae
Gene name: RNA-binding protein 42
Exons: 7
Source: RefSeq, a predicted model, not a curated record